UACGUAGGGUGCAAGCGUUGCCCGGAUUUAUUGGGCGUAAAGGGCGCGUAGGCGGCUCGGCACGUCCGUUGUGAAAUCGCCCGGCUCAACUGGGCGGGGUCAGCGGAUACGGCCGAGCUUGAGCAAGCUAGGGGGCAAUGGAAUUCCCGGUGUAGUGGUGGAAUGCGUAGAUAUCGGGAGGAACACCAGUGGCGAAGGCGGCGCACUGGACCAUAACUGACGCUGAGGCGCGAAAGCUAGGGGAGCAAACAGG
This 253-nucleotide ribosomal RNA is filed under the name uncultured bacterium. RNAcentral's name for it is "partial 16S ribosomal RNA". It matches the Rfam family "Bacterial small subunit ribosomal RNA", at positions 524 to 776 of the family's 1533-position model. The record is from RNAcentral.